Molecule: ribosomal RNA, 119 nt
Filed under: Pteropus alecto (black flying fox)
Lineage: Eukaryota; Metazoa; Chordata; Mammalia; Chiroptera; Pteropodidae
Source: RNAcentral
GUCUAUGGCCAUGCUACCCUGAAUAAGCCUGAUCCCGUCUGAUCUCAGAAGCUAAGCCAGGUCAGGCCUGGUUAUUACUUGGUUGGGAGACCACUUAGGAAAACCAGGUGCUGUAGGCA